AUGGACGAAAGUCUGCCGGAGUAACGCCGCGUGAGUGAUGAAGGUUUUCGGAUCGUAAAGCUCUGUUGCCAAGGAAGAACGGCCAGGNGAGUAACUGCCCCUGGAGUGACGGUACUUGAGAAGAAAGCCCCGGCUAACUACGUGCCAGCAGCCGCGGUAAUACGUAGGGGGCAAGCGUUGUCCGGAAUUAUUGGGCGUAAAGCGCGCGCAGGCGGUCUUUUAAGUCUGGUGUUUAAGCCCAAUUCCACGUGUACCGGUGAAAUUACGAGAGGAAAGUGGGGGGCUCAACCCCGGUUCGCACUGGAAACUGGGAGACUUGAGUG
This 323-nucleotide ribosomal RNA is filed under the name Paenibacillus larvae. Its description in RNAcentral is "bacterial SSU rRNA". It matches the Rfam family "Bacterial small subunit ribosomal RNA", at positions 371 to 648 of the family's 1533-position model. The record is from RNAcentral. Lineage: Bacteria; Bacillati; Bacillota; Bacilli; Caryophanales; Paenibacillaceae.